UACGUAGGGUGCGAGCGUUAAUCGGAAUUACUGGGCGUAAAGUGUGCGCAGGCGGCACCGCAAGUCGAGUGUGAAAGCCCCGGGCUUAACUUGGGAAUUGCGCUCGAAACUAUGGUGCUGGAGUGUGGCAGAGGAAGGUGGAAUUCCACGUGUAGCGGUGAAAUGCGUAGAGAUGUGGAGGAACACCGAUGGCGAAGGCAGCCUUCUGGGCCAACACUGACGCUGAGAAGCGAAAGCGUGGGGAGCGAACAGG
Molecule: ribosomal RNA, 253 nt
Filed under: uncultured bacterium
Lineage: Bacteria
Description: partial 16S ribosomal RNA
Rfam family: Bacterial small subunit ribosomal RNA
Source: RNAcentral